RNA transcript from Diachasmimorpha longicaudata, 1665 nucleotides. RefSeq lists it as uncharacterized. The transcript has 2 exons. The record is from RefSeq and is a predicted model, not a curated record. Lineage: Eukaryota; Metazoa; Arthropoda; Insecta; Hymenoptera; Braconidae.
AGUGGUUAAACUCUUUGUUAUUACUCAGUGUCCCAGAAACCCCGUUUCCCCCCUCCCCUCCUCCUCCCUCCUUUCCCCCUACCCCACUUCUUUUAAAAAACGUGUGGAUAUACAUGUGGAGAAGUGUCUUGGGGUGAAAGUAAAGGCGGUGGGGAAAAGUGAAAGCCGUUUCCGGGGUAAUCGGACGAAUAAUUUUUUAUUGGCAAUGAUAAGAAAAUUUUAUAUAACAACGUGACUUUUUCCACUAUCGAUAAUAAAUAAAUUCUGAUAAUCACCGAUAAUUUGGUCAGCAAAAUGUCCGCUUGAAUGCUAUUAUUUUAUUAUAUUUUUAAAAAUAUUAAAAUUCACUGAAGUUGAGAAAUAAUCCGCGAGGCGCCACUGUCCGGUCUCACCCGGAGCCUAUCCCCUUUUCAAAAUCAAACACAAACGAAAGUAAGAACGCGGAUAAGUGGAACACGGCCAGUGGCCCGGUGCCCCCCUGACCUACAUUUUUCCAUUUCACCAACGAAAGUGAAAAGAUCACCUCCCCGUGGCCCCCGCGAGAGGUCUGCCUUUCAAAAUUUUUAUUACGCCGAGGGAAUCGAUGAAUUUAUGGCGGCGAAUACCGGGACGAUAGUUUGGCAGACGAUUUUUAACGGAGGGGACAGUCAAAUAGUUCGGAUUCUAAAAAUAAAUUUAAAAAAAAAUGAAAAGGAGGAGCGAAUUGAACGAUAGAAACGAUUGUGGAUUAAGAUGAUAAAUUGUUCAGCAUUUAAAGGGUCAAAGGGGCAAAAAUGGUUUGAGGCCAUUUUCCUGCAGCGUAAUGAAGAUUAAAAUUACUGAAAGUGGAAAUCGGUAAUAUUUUAUGGUGUCCUGGAGUGAAAAAUAAUCCAGUUAUUGAAAUGUUCUCAUCUCCGUGAAGGAAUUUCAAGCAGAAAAUUUAAACCCGGAAUCCGUCCUUGGUGAUAAAUCAAGGGUAAUCAUUCUGACGGAAAACUGUUUCAUCCUACGGUAAGAGGAUCGUAUAUUAGAGAAUAAUGUGCCAAGGGUUAAAAAGAGUUGGGCCUUCCUCAACCUUCGCAAAGUUAACGGUGUCCUCAAUGGCCUAACCGUGCUCUGCAUUAGAUUUACGACAUCUCUCAACCGGAAAGUCGACUUCUGGGCGAGAGUCGUGGGCUGGGGCGUGAAAUCACGAGCCAACGAUUGAUUUUCAACGCUGCAACGGCAUUUUCCCUUCCUGGUGGAGCCUCUGGAAGGCACCAACGGUGCCCGCCCGACGGGAAAAUUCACUGGCUCUGUUAUACAUCAUCGACUGAAGGUGUGGUGAAACACCUCGUCGACUUCCCUUUUGUCCCACAGACCCACAGACUCAUGACUUUCAAUAACACCUCUUGUCGAAACUUUCAAUGAGCAUUCUUUGGCCACCAACUGUGAAGAAGAUUUUGAGGCCAGUUUGGAUGACCUUGGGAGAUAUUGAUGCCCGGAAAUACCAAAAAAGCUACGGAAAUUGUGGGAAUGGAAUUUGGCAAUUUUCGAAUCGUUAUUUGUUUUUCCAUUUGUACAUUUUUUCGAUGAAAAUUAAUAUUUUUCGAUAAAAAUAUUCAUUUUUAUCGAAGGAAAAUAUAAAACUUUGUUAUUCCAUUUAUUAAGAAAAAUAAUAAAAUGUUUAUAUAUUUUUUUCCUCCA